This 2652-nucleotide long non-coding RNA is filed under the name Homo sapiens (human). RNAcentral describes it as "HSALNT0066780". Lineage: Eukaryota; Metazoa; Chordata; Mammalia; Primates; Hominidae. The record is from RNAcentral.
GGCCCCGCCCACCCAUCGCCUUUGCCACCCUCGAACGGGCAAAAGAAAGAAAGAGGCAGGUAAGGGGAGGCGAGGCCGUCCAAAAACGCUGGGUGUCAGCCCGGGGUGGCUAAUGGAGGGCGGCUUUUCUGGUGGGAUGAAAUGGAACGGCAAAUCCCACUUCAUCCCCUUUGGGCUAUGACAACAUCAUAGUCCAAUCUCCCAUUUUAUGAACAGGGAAACUGAGGCUCAGUGACUAGACAGACGUUGCCCAGAGUCAUGGUCAUGGAGGAAGCUUGUGCUAGAAUGGUGGAGAGGAAACCAGAGCCCAGCUCCUAAUGCAAGGCUCUUUCAUUCCUUUAGCCACCCUCGCCCCCGCCAAAACAAACAGACAAAAAACUGUCAUUCUCAUAUGACCACGGACUCUGCGCCCCGGCCGCAGGCGGAGGACAGGGAGGAGCGCACACGAGAAAGCUCCCACGCGCCCGCGCCUCGCCUCCGACGGGAAGGCGCCUCUUCCGACCGUCCUGGAUGCAAAUUAAAUACUUCCCUCCGCAGAAGACUUAUCUCGGGGUAGGGCCGCAGCCGGAUUUCCAAAUCGCGGGUUUGAUUUUCGCUGCGUCCUCUCCGCGACGCGCGCAGGGAGCGCGCCCGGCCACCUGCAGCCUCUGGCUGCGGCCAUCUUUCCGCCUGGGGCCACCUGGCCUGCGCCCUUUGUGCCCGGCCCGCUCCGUGACUGUUCUUCUUGCCGCUACUUACAGAACUCAGCCGCCUUAGCGUCUUAGAGAAGAGGACGGCAUGCAUGCGGACCCCGUCCACCACACCUGGAGAGCAGGGAGCCCUUAGUCCCUGGACACUUACCAGGGCCGCCACCCCUGGUCCACGCACGUGAUGACAUCUCACCAGGGGCAGCACACCGCCCGAGUCCGCGACACUGAUAACACCUCCUGCGGGCAGGAGGGCGCCACAGCCACCCCUGGUCCCCUAGAUUGUGUGAGGCUAGCAUUUCUGCCCGCCUCUUGGCGUGGACAGCACGCUGGACCGAGAUGGAACCACAGCUUUCUCUUCCCAAUCCCUGGCCUCACCGUUUUGUUUCAUACCUCACCGUUUGUUUCAAACCUCGUGGUGUUGAAAUGAUUAAAUGAGAUUAAGGGGUGUGUGGUAGUGUUGGGCAAACCACAAGAAAACGGUCUGGGUGGGGUCUGGCCCUAAAAUCUUCCUCCCCCACCUCCCAGGCUUCCUUGCCUUGCUGCUUCCUCUCAGCCUUUAAACAGGUUGGCCUCUCCAAGUCCUAAAAACAAAAUUAUCAAGCCAACCUCCUCCUGAAGUGCUCCCUCCAACUAGCUUCCAAGUGUUUCAUGCGGACCUCAAACAAUGGUCUUCCCUGGCUGCCUCUGCUUCCUCAUUUCUCAACACUUGGCAUUCUGGCUUCUCCUCCCCAACUCUAACCCUUCACCUUGCUCAGGCAAGAGCAACUCAUGACUUUCAUUUUGCCAAACCUUGCAGGCAUUCCUCAGGCCUUAUCUCUCUGGUUCUUUCUGCUACAUUUGACACCUUGGGAUGACUCUCACCUUCUGGAAUCUCUCUACUACCUUGGUUUCAGAAGAGUGAACCCUCUGGAUUAUCACAUGAAGCUACUUCCUGUGAGCAGCCCAGGGAUGGCCAGUCACUUGUGACCUACUUUCAGAGCUGGCAGUUCUGACUUCUAGAACAAACUCGGAACAAGCCCAUCUACAGCUGGUUGACUGAGUUUCCUUUGGGCUCCUGGCACCAGAAAGAAUUGCUCACUGGAAGGAUCAUAGGUGGCACUCAUGUCUCACUGCCCCACUCAGAGCAGAGAUGCCUCACUGUGAUAGGUAAAUUAAGGUGAUACUGAUUGCCAGCUCCAGUGUGGAAGUCCCGAGGUGAAGGAAUUUCUUUCAUAAACAUUUCAAAAGCGGAGUGCGGUGACUCUCGCCUAUAAUCCCAGAAUUUUGAGAGGCCAAGGUGGGCAGCUCACUUGAGCUCAGAUGUUCGAGACCAGCCUGGGCAACAUGGCAAAACCCCAUCUCUACAAAAAAUACAAAAAUUAGCCAGGCAUGGUGGUGUGCACCUGUAGUCCCAGAUACCUGGAGGCUGAGGUGGAAGGAUCACUUGAGCCUGGGAGGCAGAGGUUGCAGUGAGCCAAGAUCACAUCACUGCACUCCAGCCUGAGUGACAGUGAGACUCUGUCUCAAAAAAGGAAAAAAGAAAAGAAAUUAAAAUUAAAUAAAUUUUAAAAAUCUUUUUUUCUUUCUUUCUUUCUUUUUCUUUUUUUCAAAGAAGUCUCCUAAGAGCCAGGCUAUUAGCACUAUCCUCCCUUUCAAGUGCUAUACAGUGAUCAGGUGAAACUGGAGAACAUCUGAGUUGGGAGAGAAUUCUAAGAUCUCAAGUGUAAAAGCUUAAUUUCACUGACUAAAAACUGAAGUCCAGAAAAGGAAAGAGGUUUUUGGCAAGGGGACACAGCCAACUGGUGGCAGAGCUGGCAAUAGAACCCAGGAUCCUUUUGACAACCCCCACCCCACAUACACACAUCCUCCCAAAGUGUGAUCUUGCUCCAAAAAGCUAGCUUCUCUCCGAGUUUUCGCGUUUCUAUCAGAAGCCCCCUCAUCCUUUUCUUUUUCUCCCCCCUUUAUGGCUAUCUAUCUUCUACAG